UGCGGCAUCACCUCCUUUCUAAGGAAGCUGUGGAACAGGAAGACGGCAUCUUCGGAUGCAUGACCUUUCCCGUGCUUUUUAGAACAUAGAUGGCACCAGUCAGGUGACCAUCGAAACGCAAUACGCCGCGUCGACUUCGGUCACGACGGUAUGGCGAGCUUUCGCCGUCCACGUUUCUCUUUCUUCAAGAAGACAAAAAACCGCGUCGACCGGUUCCCCGAAUGGGCCCGUAGCUCAGUUGGUUAGAGCACACGCUUGAUAAGCGUGGGGUCGGUAGUUCAAGUCUACCCGGGCCCACCAUUUGCAUUUGCGAAUGCGGGUUGAGGGAUGACGGAUUUGCCGUUGGGUUUCCUGACGCGGAACGUUGCCGAACCUGGGCUUGCCCGGGCGAUCGAGCUGAUGGGGCUGUAGCUCAGCUGGGAGAGCACCUGCUUUGCAAGCAGGGGGUCAGCGGUUCGAUCCCGCUCAGCUCCACCAAAUCGAUUGGUGUCGAGACUGACGGCAACGAAGCGUAGCGCAAGGCGCGUCGCCAAUCGUUUGGCGCCCUAGCGGAGCGCCUUCGGCGCGUGAGCGACAAGAAUUGUCUUCUGAAGAAAAACAAAGUUUGCAUCGUUUAUGACGAUGCCUGUUCUGCAUAUAUCGUGAAGAGAAGAUUGAUCUGGAGGCUUCCAGGUGUUUUGGGUUUAGGCCCAGGGCGUCCGAAGCCGGUUCCGAUGAUGUCGUUGAUGGUCUAGCCGACCGGAAACGAAAGAGGAGCCGGAUGUAGGAAGGAAGCUUGUCCCGGGGUAUUGUUGUUGUUUGAAGGCUUUGGCUUUCAUCUGACCGACGGUGCUGGAUUGGCGUUGCCUGACCGCGCGCCGCCGGAUUUGAUCUCGAGAAGCUGGUCUUAAGACAGACUGCGAAGCGAGCUGCUCGGCGUAGCUCCAAUAAAGCAGAUCUGUCGAACACGUCGAUGGCAUCAUGAAUUGUCCGGGUUGUAAAAGGUAACCUGGUCUCUGGCUGGCAACGGCAAUCGCAAGGUUGUCCGGAUCCCGAUCCAGUAAAUGAUGAGCAUUGGCAAUGGGAACGAUUAAGUGUCGUAAGGGCAUUUGGUGGAUGCCUUGGCAUGCACAGGCGAUGAAGGACGUGAUACGCUGCGAUAAGCCGUGGGGAGCUGCGAAUGAGCUUUGAUCCAUGGAUCUCCGAAUGGGGAAACCCGG
Molecule: unclassified non-coding RNA, 1199 nt
Filed under: Rhizobium gallicum
Lineage: Bacteria; Pseudomonadati; Pseudomonadota; Alphaproteobacteria; Hyphomicrobiales; Rhizobiaceae
Description: partial contains 16S ribosomal RNA, 16S-23S ribosomal RNA intergenic spacer, and 23S ribosomal RNA
Rfam family: Bacterial large subunit ribosomal RNA (bases 1068-1199)
Source: RNAcentral